This is a long non-coding RNA of Equus caballus (horse), 1799 nucleotides long. The record is from Ensembl. NCBI's taxonomy places the organism in Eukaryota, Metazoa, Chordata, Mammalia, Perissodactyla, Equidae.
CUGCACCUUUAAGUCUGCAGCCGGUUGAGAAAAACAAGCUGUGAUUUAUAUAAGCGGGAAAAUCAUGUGAUUUGCAGGAACGCUCCCUCCUCCCUGGCCCCCUCCCCGCGUCGCCUCCAGCCCAUCCCAGAGGGGCCCGGCCGGCGGGGAGGGGCGGGGGCGCCCGGAGCCUCCAUUCACAAAGCGGGGCCGGCGAGCCGAGCGCGGCGGGGGCUGCGCCUAGUUCUUGCGGCCCCAGGCGCCAGGAAGGGCGGCCGAAGGCCUCGGAGCGCAGCAGAGUGUGCCUCCCCAACAGACUCGGGUGGGCUACAUUUAGGAGGGUGGGGGGUGCCCUCCCCGCGGUCCGCUGCCCCCGGAGUGGGUCGCACAAAACCCAGGGUCGCCGCUGCCAGCGCGGGCUGCCGAGCAUCCCCGCCCCCUGAUCGGGUCGGCCUGCCCCCUUCGGGGGAAAGUGUGCAAUGGAGAAACUGAGGCUUUCCCCCAACUUCUCAGGGAGAAAGAAAAGCCAGGGGCCCCCAUAGACUGGCUUCUGUGUCCCAGAACACCCAGCAGGGGGAGAGCAAUUUAAGAAAUAAUUUGGUAGGAAAAGGGCAUGCUGAAAAUCAGCCAUUUCUAGAGCUGAGAAGCGGCUUUUAGCCCAGAGGACCUAGCUUUGAGGAAAAAAACGAUGUGGCAUUUUCAGACAGAGCCAAAGAAAAUAAAUACAUGGUCCGGAGGCCCUAAGAACCAGCACGGAGCUUUUAGAGGGAGGGUGGCAGCUAGAGGAGCCGACGCCCCCGCAGAGGUAACUCUGACAGCUUCUGAGGGCAGGAUAUGCUCAGGUCCUCCCAGAUGCAGAAACUGUAGAGCCAGCAAGACCCGAGGAGGUCAUCUCAGCCACCACCACCCCCACCGCUCUGGAGGAAUACACCAAGCCCUUCCAGGAAGUGCUUCCAGCGGGAGAGGAUUAGCAAUCACUUCCAAAACCAAGCCCAGGAGAAGUUGGGGCCUUUCUCAGGGAGAAGAGCUGGGAGGAGUGGACAGGAGACCUUCCUCUCCUCCACCAGCAUCCCGGCCCACGUCCAGCAUGUGCUGCCCCCACCUGCUGCUGCAUCGGCCUCACGUGUCUGCCAGGACCUCCCCUCUCAGAAGGCGAACAAUCUGUCCUGCCUUCAGCAUACCCAGAGGCUUCCAGUGUUCACCAGCACGCCUUCUCCAUCAGUUUCAUCACAGCAUAAUCCUCCAAACAGAGGGAUGCCCCCACCCCUGGAAUGAUAAGGCACAGAAUUUUGUUUCUAUGUAACACUCUCUUCCUAUCAUCCCCUUACACCCCACCCCGCUACAUCUGGUACCCUGACAGUCAAGAAAUCCACCCCAAAUUGCUCCUGUUAUUUAUUUAUUUUACUCCUCUAUGAGCAUGGAGAAAUGCUAAUCAGCAUCCCUGUUGUAGUUGAAAAUGAUGAUCUGAUUAAACAUGUCAGCAUAAGACAGACAAAAGGACAAAUUCUGUAUGAUUCCACUUAACAGAAGCACCAAGAGUAGUCAGAUUCCUAGACACAGAAAGUGGACCGGUGGUUUCCAGGGGCUGGGAGAGGGGAGAAUGGGGAGUUUGCGUUUAUUGGGUACCGAGUUUCAGUGUGGACAGAUGAAAAGGUUUUUGAAGAUGGGUGAUAAUGGUUGCACAAGAAUGGGGAUGUACUCAAUGCCAUGGAACUGUACACUUAAAAAUGGUUAAAACAGUAAAUUUUAUGUUGUGUAUAUUUUACCACAAUGAAAAAAUAAUGUCAGCAACAUUCACUGACCCCAAGACAGACUUGCAG